CCUACGGGUGGCAGCAGUGAGGAAUAUUGGUCAAUGGACGAGAGCCUGAACCAGCCAAGUAGCGUGAAGGAUGACUGCCCUAUGGGUUGUAAACUUCUUUUAUAUGGGAAUAAAGUAGGGUAUGCAUACCCUUUUGUAUGUACCAUAUGAAUAAGGAUCGGCUAACUCCGUGCCAGCAGCCGCGGUAAUACGGAGGAUGCGAGCGUUAUCCGGAUUUAUUGGGUUUAAAGGGAGCGUAGGUGGUUUGUUAAGUCAGUUGUGAAAGUUUGCGGCUCAACCGUAAAAUUGCAAGUGAAACUGGCAGUCUUGAGUACAGUAGAGGUGGGCGGAAUUCGUGGUGUAGCGGUGAAAUGCUUAGAUAUCACGAAGAACUCCGAUUGCGAAGGCAGCUCACUGGACUGCAACUGACACUGAUGCUCGAAAGUGUGGGUAUCAAACAGGAUUAGAUACCCGAGUAGUC
RNAcentral lists this ribosomal RNA (460 nucleotides) under uncultured bacterium. RNAcentral describes it as "partial 16S ribosomal RNA". It matches the Rfam family "Bacterial small subunit ribosomal RNA", at positions 338 to 795 of the family's 1533-position model. The record is from RNAcentral.